AACGAACGCUGGCGGCAUGCCUAACACAUGCAAGUCGAACGAGAUCCUUCGGGGUCUAGUGGCGCACGGGUGCGUAACGCGUGGGAAUCUGCCCUUAGGUUCGGAAUAACAGUUAGAAAUGACUGCUAAUACCGGAUGAUGACGUUAAGUCCAAAGAUUUAUCGCCUGAGGAUGAGCCCGCGUAGGAUUAGCUAGUUGGUGUGGUAAAGGCGCACCAAGGCGACGAUCCUUAGCUGGUGUGAGAGGAUGAUCAGCCACACUGGGACUGAGACACGGCCCAGACUCCUACGGGAGGCAGCAGUGGGGAAUAUUGGACAAUGGGCGCAAGCCUGAUCCAGCAAUGCCGCGUGAGUGAUGAAGGCCUUAGGGUUGUAAAGCUCUUUUACCCGGGAUGAUAAUGACAGUACCGGGAGAAUAAGCCCCGGCUAACUCCGUG
This 436-nucleotide ribosomal RNA is filed under the name uncultured bacterium. RNAcentral's name for it is "partial 16S ribosomal RNA". It matches the Rfam family "Bacterial small subunit ribosomal RNA", at positions 29 to 507 of the family's 1533-position model. The record is from RNAcentral.